Molecule: ribosomal RNA, 497 nt
Filed under: uncultured bacterium
Lineage: Bacteria
Description: bacterial SSU rRNA
Rfam family: Bacterial small subunit ribosomal RNA
Source: RNAcentral
GAUCAUGGCUCAGAUUCGAACGCUGGCGGCAUGCCUUACACAUGCAAGUCGAACGGCAGGCACGGGGGCAACCUGGUGGCGAGUGGCGAACGGGUGAGUAAUGCAUCGGAACGUGCCAUUGAGUGGGGGGUAACGUAGCGAAAGUUACGCUAAUACCGCAUAUUCUGUGAGCAGGAAAGCAGGGGAUCGCAAGACCUUGCGCUCUUUGAGCGGCCGAUGUCAGAUUAGCUAGUUGGUGAGGUAACGGCUUACCAAGGCGACGAUCUGUAGCGGGUCUGAGAGGAUGAUCCGCCACACUGGAACUGAGACACGGUCCAGACUCCUACGGGAGGCAGCAGUGGGGAAUUUUGGACAAUGGGGCAACCCUGAUCCAGCCAUGCCGCGUGAGUGAAGAAGGCCUUCGGGUUGUAAAGCUCUUUCGGCCGGGAAGAAAUCGCAUGGGUUAAUACCCUGUGUGGAUGACGGUACCGGCAUAAGAAGCACCGGCUAACUACGUG